GCCAUCCUCAGAGGAGGACUGGUGCUAGCUGGUUUUACAGAUGAGCUGAGGCCACUCAGCUGAAGCCGGACAACUGUGGAGCGGCUGGGCCAGUGUGCAAUACCAGGUCUGAGAGCUGAGCCCGAGGACCUGAGCCCUGCACCCCUGGGCUGGAGAGAGCCCACAAGCAUCACCCCUUCCAGGCAUCACUACUUCAUCUGGGGACGGGAAGACUCAGAGGACUGGGCCAGGGCCUCGGGCUGUCAGCUGGGAUGCAGCCCUGGGGUUCUAGCUGCCAGCUCCAGGGAUCAGGGCCCUAUGCUAAUGCUCUGCUGUUGCCAACUUUAAAUUCUUAGGGUUUUUUGUUUGUUUGUUUUGUUUUUUGUUUUUUUUUUGCAAGAGGACUUGCAUUUUCAUUUUGCACUGGAUCCCAGAAAUUAUGUAGCCAGUAGUCCCGGGGGCUCUGGGUGACCCGGCAUACUCUCCCUCCCGCCCUUGGCUUUCACAGAGGGGGCUGAGACCUGGCACUUGGUUCACAGCACCGCUUUUGUGCCCGGCUUCCUCCUGCCCAGUGCCAGGUGGACCCAGAAGUUUCUGCAGGAAUGGGAGGGGGGAGGAGAGCCCUGAGCUGGCGAAGCAAGGAGCAGGCUGGCAGCGGAGCCACAGCACGGAGCGAGGAGCUCUCAACAGGUGUCAGGCAGAGGUCUGGUGGCUGGUUCGGGGUCUACUGAAGGCUGUCUUGAUCAGGAAACUGAAGACUCUCUGCUUUUGCCACAGCAGUUCCUGCAGCUUCCUUGAGGUGUGAACCCACAUCCCUGCCCCCAGGGCCACCUGCAGGACGCCGACACCUACCCCUCAGCAGACGCCGGAGAGAAAUGAGUAGCAACAAAGAGCAGCGGUCAGCAGUGUUCGUGAUCCUCUUUGCCCUCAUCACCAUCCUCAUCCUCUACAGCUCCAACAGUGCCAAUGAGGUCUUCCAUUACGGCUCCCUGCGGGGCCGUAGCCGCCGACCUGUCAACCUCAAGAAGUGGAGCAUCACUGACGGCUAUGUCCCCAUUCUCGGCAACAAGACACUGCCCUCUCGGUGCCACCAGUGUGUGAUUGUCAGCAGCUCCAGCCACCUGCUGGGCACCAAGCUGGGCCCUGAGAUCGAGCGGGCUGAGUGUACAAUCCGCAUGAAUGAUGCACCCACCACUGGCUACUCAGCUGAUGUGGGCAACAAGACCACCUACCGCGUCGUGGCCCAUUCCAGUGUGUUCCGCGUGCUGAGGAGGCCCCAGGAGUUUGUCAACCGGACCCCUGAAACCGUGUUCAUCUUCUGGGGGCCCCCGAGCAAGAUGCAGAAGCCCCAGGGCAGCCUCGUGCGUGUGAUCCAGCGAGCGGGCCUGGUGUUCCCCAACAUGGAAGCAUAUGCCGUCUCUCCCGGCCGCAUGCGGCAAUUUGACGACCUCUUCCGGGGUGAGACGGGCAAGGACAGGGAGAAGUCUCAUUCGUGGUUGAGCACAGGCUGGUUUACCAUGGUGAUCGCGGUGGAGUUGUGUGACCACGUGCAUGUCUAUGGCAUGGUCCCCCCCAACUACUGCAGCCAGCGGCCCCGCCUCCAGCGCAUGCCCUACCACUACUACGAGCCCAAGGGGCCGGACGAAUGUGUCACCUACAUCCAGAAUGAGCACAGUCGCAAGGGCAACCACCACCGCUUCAUCACCGAGAAAAGGGUCUUCUCAUCGUGGGCCCAGCUGUAUGGCAUCACCUUCUCCCACCCCUCCUGGACCUAGGCCACCCAGCCUGUGGGACCUCAGGAGGGUCAGAGGAGAAGCAGCCUCCGCCCAGCCGCUAGGCCAGGGACCAUCUUCUGGCCAAUCAAGGCUUGCUGGAGUGUCUCCCAGCCAAUCAGGGCCUUGAGGAGGAUGUAUCCUCCAGCCAAUCAGGGCCUGGGGAAUCUGUUGGCGAAUCAGGGAUUUGGGAGUCUAUGCGGUUAAUCAGGGGUGUCUUUCUUGUGCAGUCAGGGUCUGCGCACAGUCAAUCAGGGUAGAGGGGGUAUUUCUGAGUCAAUCUGAGGCUAAGGACAUGUCCUUUCCCAUGAGGCCUUGGUUCAGAGCCCCAGGAAUGGACCCCCCAAUCACUCCCCACUCUCCUGGGAUAAUGGGGUCCUGUCCCAAGGAGCUGGGAACUUGGUGUUGCCCCCUCAAUUUCCAGCACCAGAAAGAGAGAUUGUGUGGGGGUAGAAGCUGUCUGGAGGCCCGGCCAGAGAAUUUGUGGGGUUGUGGAGGUUGUGGGGGCGGUGGGGAGGUCCCAGAGGUGGGAGGCCGGCAUCCAGGUCUUGGCUCUGCCCUGAGACCUUGGACAAACCCUUCCCCCUCUCUGGGCACCCUUCUGCCCACACCAGUUUCCAGUGCGGAGUCUGAGACCCUUUCCACCUCCCCUACAAGUGCCCUCGGGUCUGUCCUCCCCGUCUGGACCCUCCCAGCCACUAUCCCUUGCUGGAAGGCUCAGCUCUUUGGGGGGUCUGGGGUGACCUCCCCACCUCCUGGAAAACUUUAGGGUAUUUUUGCGCAAACUCCUUCAGGGUUGGGGGACUCUGAAGGAAACGGGACAAAACCUUAAGCUGUUUUCUUAGCCCCUCAGCCAGCUGCCAUUAGCUUGGCUCUUAAAGGGCCAGGCCUCCUUUUCUGCCCUCUAGCAGGGAGGUUUUCCAACUGUUGGAGGCGCCUUUGGGGCUGCCCCUUUGUCUGGAGUCACUGGGGGCUUCCGAGGGUCUCCCUCGACCCUCUGUCGUCCUGGGAUGGCUGUCGGGAGCUGUAUCACCUGGGUUCUGUCCCCUGGCUCUGUAUCAGGCACUUUAUUAAAGCUGGGCCUCAGUGGGGUGUGUUUGUCUCCUGCUCUUCUGGAGCCUGGAAGGAAAGGGCUUCAGGAGGAGGCUGUGAGGCUGGAGGGACCAGAUGGAGGAGGCCAGCAGCUAGCCAUUGCACACUGGGGUGAUGGGUGGGGGCGGUGACUGCCCCAGACUUGGUUUUGUAAUGAUUUGUACAGGAAUAAACACACCUACGCUCCGGCUUCGUGUCCUGUGUCACCUGGGUCGAGCACAGCCUUCUGGUCCAGCGCUGCAUGCGGCCUCAGGACCACGUCUUCCGGUUGGGGGCUCCCAGUAAAGCGAUCCUCAGCUUCUUCAGCAGCCAGUGGCCAGUGAGAGCACUGACACGGCUCCCGGGACCUCGGCAGGAUGGAAGAGAAGCUGAAGAAAACCAAGAUCAUCUUUGUGGUGGGUGGGCCUGGCUCAGGGAAGGGCACCCAGUGUGAGAAGAUCGUGCAGAAGUAUGGCUACACCCACCUCUCCACCGGGGACCUCCUGCGGUCCGAGGUCAGCUCAGGCUCGGCCAGGGGCAAGAAGCUGUCGGAAAUCAUGGAGAAGGGGCAGCUGGUUCCACUGGAGACAGUGUUGGACAUGCUCCGGGAUGCCAUGGUGGCCAAAGUCAAUACUUCCAAAGGCUUCCUGAUUGAUGGCUACCCGCGGGAGGUGCAGCAAGGAGAAGAGUUUGAGCGACGGAUUGGACAGCCCACACUGCUGCUGUAUGUGGACGCAGGCCCUGAGACCAUGACCCAGCGGCUCUUGAAACGUGGAGAGACCAGCGGGCGUGUGGACGACAAUGAGGAGACCAUCAAAAAGCGGCUGGAGACCUAUUACAAGGCCACAGAACCUGUCAUCGCCUUCUAUGAGAAACGUGGCAUUGUGCGCAAGGUCAACGCUGAGGGCUCCGUGGACAGUGUCUUCUCCCAGGUCUGCACCCACCUGGACGCCCUAAAGUAGCAACGCUGGAGCCGCUUCCCCAGCUCAGAGCCCCGCCCCACCCCGUCCUGAUUCGAGGUCCUCCUGGCCUGAGCGCAGCGCCUCCACCCUGCCCUGCUGAGCACAGACGGAGGAAGCCGCUUAUCCUGUUUUCAUGGACAGCUGAGCACUAAAGGAAUUUCUAAGGACAUUUGGUUUUACUGCUUUUUCUCUGCUUCCAGUUGGAGUUGAUUCAUGUGCUUGUGCCUACCUGGCCGCAAGUCCCCAGCCCCUCAACCCUCCGUUCCUCCUCAGCCUCCCUUUGCCAGCCACCCCUCCUCUAGCUCUGGUGGGAGGCCCGGGGCCCUUCCUCGCACAGGGCAUGCCUGGCCUGAGGACCCGGCGCUGAGUGGCGGGGCCCCUGCUCCGAGGGGCUCAUGUUCAGGCAGAACCGGUCCCAGCCUGGGCUCCUCUGCAUCUUGCUCUGUGGCCUUGGCCCUGACCCCCAUCGCUCUGAGCAUAUGUUCCAUGCCUGGCCCUUGCCGGGGCCUGGACUGCACAGGCAGCAAGGUCAUGGUCUGAGUGGGGCUUCCUGGGCAGUUGGGGCGGCCCACGCCAGCUGGCCCAGUGGGUAGUGAAUUGGCUUCCUUGACGCGAGAGGCUCUGAGGGUCUGAAAAGGGCAUCUCAAUGGCAUGGGUGGGUGGGGAGUCAGUCAUGUCACUGAAAUUGAAUGGGGGAGGCCCAAUGAGGUGGCUCAUGCCUGUAAUCCCAGCACUUUGGGAAGCUGAGGCAGGAGGAUCCCCUGAGGUCAGGAGUUCGAGAGCAGCCUGGCCAACAUGGCAAAACCCCUUAUUUACUAAAAAUACAAAAAUUAGCCGGGCAUGGUGGCAUGUGCCUGUAUUCCCAGCUACUCAUGAGGCUGAGGCAGGAGAAUGGCGUGAACCCGGGAGGUGGAGCUUGCAAUGAGCCAAGAUUGCGCCACUGCACUCCAGCCUGGGUGACAGAGCAAGACUCCGUCUCAAAAAAAAAAAAAAAAAAAAAGAAAUUGAAUUGGGGGAGUCAUGGUCAGGGGUGAGACCUGAAGGACCUCCCCCUGUGUGGCCCUGGACACAGCCCACCCUCUGUGAGCCGUUUCCAAUUCUAAAACAGACUCAAUGUCCCCCUCACCCCCACCUCAAGGUCAGGAUGAGAACACACUGAGUGAGGAGUGGACGCUGUCCAUUGCCACGGCCAUGAGGGCUGGAGACCAGAACAGCAUGGCCCGAAGCGUGCGGGGCCCCGGAUGACUUGGGGACACCCCAGAAUCCCCUGGGGAGAACCCUUCCUGCGCGCUUUCAUUUUUUGACCUCAUCACUGAGAAAGGCUCAAUUUGGUGCUCACGUGUCCUUAACACCUGAUCUGGCCCAAGCUGGGCUCCCUUUAAGCCAAGAGAGCCUCUUGUGGACCCCGCCUGCCCGAAUGAAAUCCGAACAGUUGGGGCUGUUCAUGGCAAGUGGGGCUGGUUUUUCAUUUCCAUUGGUUAUUUAAAGUUUCCUUUAAAAUAAACGAUUUUAAGUUAUAAAA
Molecule: long non-coding RNA, 5306 nt
Filed under: Homo sapiens (human)
Lineage: Eukaryota; Metazoa; Chordata; Mammalia; Primates; Hominidae
Description: ST6GALNAC4-ST6GALNAC6-AK1 readthrough, transcript variant 4 (ST6GALNAC4-ST6GALNAC6-AK1)
Source: RNAcentral